RNAcentral lists this long non-coding RNA (358 nucleotides) under Nicotiana benthamiana. Its description in RNAcentral is "long non-coding RNA (NBEN_LNC005363)". Lineage: Eukaryota; Viridiplantae; Streptophyta; Magnoliopsida; Solanales; Solanaceae. The record is from RNAcentral.
ACGGAAAAUCCCAAUUGACACCUUUGACAAGCUCAAUCAACUAAUUCUGGAGAAGAACACCGAGAAGGAGAUGCAGAAACUGUCCUCGGAGGAAACCCUAGACGCCAUGGAAGUGACGUCGCCACCAGUGGAGAUAGUCACUGAACAAUCAGAAGUUCCGGAAAGACUAAGUACAGAAACAACAGUGACAACAGAGGCUGAAGAUACUCCAACCUCUCCGACUAUCGCCGAAGCAGGACCCGUGAAGGAGCCGACCAUGCAACCUGAAAUACCAACUGAAGAACAACCAGAGAUUGCCAAAAACAAAGCAGAAGAACCCAAGAAGGCCUGGUCAACACUAUUUCAGAAGAAUCGAUUU